RNAcentral lists this ribosomal RNA (621 nucleotides) under Turbinellus floccosus. Its description in RNAcentral is "eukaryotic LSU rRNA". It matches the Rfam family "Eukaryotic large subunit ribosomal RNA", at positions 52 to 627 of the family's 3401-position model. The record is from RNAcentral. Lineage: Eukaryota; Fungi; Basidiomycota; Agaricomycetes; Gomphales; Gomphaceae.
GGAGGAAAAGAAACUAACAAGGAUUCCCCUAGUAACGGCGAGUGAAGCGGGAAGAGCUCAAAUUUGUAAUCUGGCGGCCUUUGGCCGUCCGAGUUGUAGUCUCGAGAAGCGUCUUCUGCGUCGGACCGUGUACAAGUCCCUUGGAACAGGGCGUCGUAGAGGGUGAGAAUCCCGUCUUUGACACGGACUGCCGGUGCUCUGUGAUGCGCUCUCAAAGAGUCGAGUUGUUUGGGAAUGCAGCUCAAAACGGGUGGUAAAUUCCAUCUAAAGCUAAAUAUUGGCGAAAGACCGAUAGCGAACAAGUACCGUGAGGGAAAGAUGAAAAGCACUUUGGAAAGAGAGUUAAACAGUACGUGAAAUUGCUGAAAGGGAAACGCUUGAAGUCAGUCGCGUCUCCCGGGAUUCAGCCGUGCCCCUGUCGGGGCGCGGUGUACUUCCUGGCUGUGACGGGCCAGCAUCGAUUUUGGCCGUCGGAGAAAGGCCUUGGGAAUGUGGCACCUUCGGGUGUGUUAUAGCCCUGGGUCGCAUGCGACGGUCGGGAUCGAGGACCGCAGCACGUUUCUCCUUCCUUCGCGGGAAAGGGGCUCGGGGUUCGCCCACGCAAACGUUGCUUAGGAUGCU